RNAcentral lists this ribosomal RNA (248 nucleotides) under uncultured bacterium. RNAcentral's name for it is "partial 16S ribosomal RNA". It matches the Rfam family "Bacterial small subunit ribosomal RNA", at positions 15 to 252 of the family's 1533-position model. The record is from RNAcentral.
GAUCAUGGCUCAGGAUAAACGCUAGCGGCAGGCCUAACACAUGCAAGUCGAGGGGCAUCGGAUAGAGUACUUCGGUACUCUUGCCGGCGACCGGCGGACGGGUGCGUAACGCGUAUGCAACCUACCUUCAACAGGGGGGAUAAUCCGAAGAAAUUUGGUCUAAUACCCCAUAAUAUUCCGACAGGCAUCUGUCGGAGUUGAAAGGCUUCGGUGGUUGGAGAUGGGCAUGCGUUGUAUUAGCUAGAUGG